GUGGCGGACGGGUGAGUAACGCGUGAACAAUCUACCCUUAAGACCGGGAUAACAUCGGGAAACCGAUGCUAAUACCGGAUAUGCUCACACUGGGGCAUCCCAGAGUGAGGAAAGGGCUUACCGCUUAAGGAUGAGUUCGCGUCCCAUUAGCUAGUUGGUGAGAUAACAGCCCACCAAGGCGACGAUGGGUAGCCGGCCUGAGAGGGUGACCGGCCACACUGGGACUGAGACACGGCCCAGACUCCUACGGGAGGCAGCAGUGGGGAAUAUUGCGCAAUGGGGGAAACCCUGACGCAGCAACGCCGCGUGAGCGAAGAAGGCCUUCGGGUCGUAAAGCUCUGUCAUAAGGGACGAAGUCUCUCUUUAUGAGAGGUGACGGUACCUUAAGAGGAAGCCCCGGCUAACUACGUGCCAGCAGCCGCGGUAACACGUAGGGGGCAAGCGUUGUCCGGAAUUAUUGGGCGUAAAGGGCGUGUAGGCGGUUAAUUAAGUCAGGUGUGAAAACCCGGG
RNAcentral lists this ribosomal RNA (510 nucleotides) under uncultured bacterium. RNAcentral describes it as "bacterial SSU rRNA". It matches the Rfam family "Bacterial small subunit ribosomal RNA", at positions 95 to 606 of the family's 1533-position model. The record is from RNAcentral.